Molecule: ribosomal RNA, 450 nt
Filed under: uncultured bacterium
Lineage: Bacteria
Description: partial 16S ribosomal RNA
Rfam family: Bacterial small subunit ribosomal RNA
Source: RNAcentral
GUGGGGAAUCUUCCGCAAUGGACGAAAGUCUGACGGAGCAACGCCGCGUGAGUGAUGAAGGUCUUCGGAUUGUAAAGCUCUGUUAAUCGGGACGAAAGAGCCUAGUGUGAAUAAUGCUAGGAAGGGACGGUACCGGAAUAGAAAGCCACUGCUAACUACGUGCCAGCAGCCGCGGUAAUACGUAGGUGGCAAGCGUUGUCCGGAAUUAUUGGGCGUAAAGCGCGCGCAGGCGGAUCUGCCAGUAUGUCUUAAAAGUUCGGGGCUUAACCCCGUGAUGGGAUGGAAACUACAGAUCUAGAGUAUCGGAGAGGAAAGUGGAAUUCCUAGUGUAGCGGUGAAAUUCGUAGAUAUUAGGAAGAACACCAGUGGCGAAGGCGACUUUCUGGACGAAAACUGACGCUGAGGCGCGAAAGCCAGGGGAGCGAACGGGAUUAGAUACCCCUGUAGUCC